GGAAAGAUGUCCGAGUGGUCGAUGGUGCAUCGUUGGAAGCGAUGUAUACCGAAAGGUAUCGGGGGUUCGAAUCCCCCUCUUUCCGC
RNAcentral lists this transfer RNA (86 nucleotides) under Treponemataceae bacterium. Its description in RNAcentral is "tRNA-Ser". It matches the Rfam family "tRNA". Rfam says of the family: Transfer RNA (tRNA) molecules are approximately 80 nucleotides in length. The record is from RNAcentral. Lineage: Bacteria; Pseudomonadati; Spirochaetota; Spirochaetia; Treponematales; Treponemataceae.